CCUACGGGAGGCAGCAGUGGGGAAUAUUGCGCAAUGGGGGAAACCCUGACGCAGCAACGCCGCGUGAGUGAGGAAGUAUCUCGGUAUGUAAAGCUCUAUCAGCGGGGAAGAAGGAAGACGGUACCCGACUAAGAAGCCCCGGCUAACUACGUGCCAGGAGCCGCGGUAAUACGUAGGGGGCGAGCGUUAUCCGGAUUUACUGGGUGUAAAGGGAGCGUAGACGGCGUCGCAAGUCUGAAGUGAAAGCCCGUGGCUUAACCGCGGAACCGCUUUGGAAACUGUGAGGCUGGAGUGCUGGAGAGGUAGGCGGAAUGCCUGGUGUAGCGGUGAAAUGCGUAGAUAUCAGAAAGAACACCGGUGGCGAAGGCAGCUUACUGAACAAUGACUGACGUUGAGGCUCGAAAGCGUGGGGAGCGAACAGGAUUAGAUACCCGAGUAGUC
Molecule: ribosomal RNA, 441 nt
Filed under: uncultured bacterium
Lineage: Bacteria
Description: partial 16S ribosomal RNA
Rfam family: Bacterial small subunit ribosomal RNA
Source: RNAcentral